Molecule: unclassified non-coding RNA, 301 nt
Filed under: uncultured fungus
Lineage: Eukaryota; Fungi
Description: sequence contains ITS1
Rfam family: 5.8S ribosomal RNA (bases 1-104)
Source: RNAcentral
AAACUACGUUAAACGGUGUGAAUUGCAGAACACGCAGAACACUGGAACUUUGAACGCACAUGGCAGGUUAGUGUUAUAACUAACCUUUGUCUGUGUGAGGGUUGUAGACAGAGAAUAAAAGCUACUUUUUGAAAAGCGGUGAGGUUGCCUGUUAAAUGUGUGACAUGCCCGCUGAUCGUGUUAAAAAGACACUUGUGUUGCGCCUCUGGCCAGCGUCGGAGGAUAACGGCAACUGGACGAGUGUUGUCUAGUUCUUUUUUCUCACAACCUCACAUCAGGCAAGAUUACCCGCUUAAUUUAA